UACGGGGGGAGCAAGCGUUGUUCGGAUUUACUGGGCGUAAAGGGCGCGUAGGCGGCCAGCACAAGUCAGUUGUGAAAUCUCCGGGCUUAACUCGGAAAGGUCAACUGAUACUGUGCGGCUAGAGUGCAGAAGGGGCAACUGGAAUUCUCGGUGUAGCGGUGAAAUGCGCAGAUAUCAGGAAGAACACCAAUGGCGAAAGCAGCUCUCUGGGACGGUACUGACGCUGAGACGCGAAAGCGUGGGGAGCGAACAGG
This 254-nucleotide ribosomal RNA is filed under the name uncultured bacterium. RNAcentral describes it as "partial 16S ribosomal RNA". It matches the Rfam family "Bacterial small subunit ribosomal RNA", at positions 524 to 776 of the family's 1533-position model. The record is from RNAcentral.